This 2330-nucleotide ribosomal RNA is filed under the name Listeria monocytogenes. Its description in RNAcentral is "partial 23S ribosomal RNA". It matches the Rfam family "Bacterial large subunit ribosomal RNA", at positions 1 to 2323 of the family's 2925-position model. The record is from RNAcentral. Lineage: Bacteria; Bacillati; Bacillota; Bacilli; Caryophanales; Listeriaceae.
GGUUAAGUUAGAAAGGGCGCACGGUGGAUGCCUUGGCACUAGGAGCCGAAGAAGGACGGGACUAACACCGAUAUGCUUUGGGGAGCUGUACGUAAGCGUUGAUCCAGAGAUUUCCGAAUGGGGGAACCCACUAUCUUUAGUCGGAUAGUAUCCUUACGUGAAUACAUAGCGUGAGGAAGGCAGACCCAGGGAACUGAAACAUCUAAGUACCUGGAGGAAGAGAAAGAAAAAUCGAUUUCCUGAGUAGCGGCGAGCGAAACGGAAAGAGCCCAAACCAAGAAGCUUGCUUCUUGGGGUUGUAGGACACUCUAUACGGAGUUACAAAAGAAAGUUAUAAAUGAAGUGGUCUGGAAAGGCCCGCCAAAGACGGUAACAGCCCGGUAGUUGAAAUGGCUUUCCCUCCAGAGUGGAUCCUGAGUACGGCGGAACACGUGAAAUUCCGUCGGAAUCCGGGAGGACCAUCUCCCAAGGCUAAAUACUCCCUAGUGACCGAUAGUGAACCAGUACCGUGAGGGAAAGGUGAAAAGCACCCCGGAAGGGGAGUGAAACAGUUCCUGAAACCGUGUGCCUACAAGUAGUUAGAGCCCGUUAAUGGGUGAUAGCGUGCCUUUUGUAGAAUGAACCGGCGAGUUACGAUUUGUUGCAAGGUUAAGCGGAAAAAGCGGAGCCGUAGCGAAAGCGAGUCUGAAUAGGGCGCAUAAGUAACAGGUCGUAGACCCGAAACCAGGUGAUCUACCCAUGUCCAGGAUGAAGGUAAGGUAAUACUUACUGGAGGUCCGAACCCACGCACGUUGAAAAGUGCGGGGAUGAGGUGUGGGUAGCGGAGAAAUUCCAAUCGAACUUGGAGAUAGCUGGUUCUCUCCGAAAUAGCUUUAGGGCUAGCCUCGAGGUAAAGAGUCAUGGAGGUAGAGCACUGUUUGGACUAGGGGCCCUUCUCGGGUUACCGAAUUCAGAUAAACUCCGAAUGCCAUGUACUUAUACUCGGGAGUCAGACUGCGAGUGAUAAGAUCCGUAGUCGAAAGGGAAACAGCCCAGACCACCAGUUAAGGUCCCCAAAUAUAUGUUAAGUGGAAAAGGAUGUGGGGUUGCUUAGACAACCAGGAUGUUGGCUUAGAAGCAGCCACCAUUGAAAGAGUGCGUAAUAGCUCACUGGUCGAGUGACCCCGCGCCGAAAAUGUACCGGGGCUAAACAUAUUACCGAAACUGUGGAUGAACCUCUUUAGAGGUUCGUGGUAGGAGAGCGUUCUAAGGGCGGUGAAGUCAGACCGGAAGGACUGGUGGAGCGCUUAGAAGUGAGAAUGCCGGUAUGAGUAGCGAAAGAAGGGUGAGAAUCCCUUCCACCGAAUAUCUAAGGUUUCCUGAGGAAGGCUCGUCCGCUCAGGGUUAGUCGGGACCUAAGCCGAGGCCGAUAGGCGUAGGCGAUGGACAACAGGUAGAGAUUCCUGUACCAGUGCUAAUUGUUUAACCGAUGGGGUGACACAGAAGGAUAGGGAAUCGCACGAAUGGAAAUGUGCGUCCAAGCAGUGAGUGUGAGAAGUAGGCAAAUCCGCUUCUCGCGAAGCAUGAGCUGUGAUGGGGAAGGAAAUUAAGUACGGAAGUUCCUGAUUUCACGCUGUCAAGAAAAGCCUCUAGGAAGAGUAGUACUGCCCGUACCGCAAACCGACACAGGUAGAUGAGGAGAGAAUCCUAAGGUGAGCGAGAGAACUCUCGUUAAGGAACUCGGCAAAAUGACCCCGUAACUUCGGGAGAAGGGGUGCUCUAUUAGGGUGCAAGCCCGAGAGAGCCGCAGUGAAUAGGCCCAGGCGACUGUUUAGCAAAAACACAGGUCUCUGCAAAACCGUAAGGUGACGUAUAGGGGCUGACGCCUGCCCGGUGCUGGAAGGUUAAGAGGAGUGCUUAGCUUCGGCGAAGGUACGAAUUGAAGCCCCAGUAAACGGCGGCCGUAACUAUAACGGUCCUAAGGUAGCGAAAUUCCUUGUCGGGUAAGUUCCGACCCGCACGAAAGGCGCAACGAUCUGGGCACUGUCUCAACGAGAGACUCGGUGAAAUUAUAGUACCUGUGAAGAUGCAGGUUACCCGCGACAGGACGGAAAGACCCCGUGGAGCUUUACUGCAACCUGAUAUGGAAUGUUUGUACCGCUUGUACAGGAUAGGUAGGAGCCGAAGAGACGUGUGCGCUAGCAUACGAGGAGGCAAUGGUGGGAUACUACCCUGGCUGUAUGACCAUUCUAACCCGCCACGCUUAGCGCGUGGGGAGACAGUGUCAGGUGGGCAGUUUGACUGGGGCGGUCGCCUCCUAAAGAGUAACGGAGGCGCCCAAAGGUUCCCUC